Long non-coding RNA from Tarenaya hassleriana, 1319 nucleotides. RefSeq lists it as uncharacterized. Lineage: Eukaryota; Viridiplantae; Streptophyta; Magnoliopsida; Brassicales; Cleomaceae. The record is from RefSeq and is a predicted model, not a curated record. The transcript is spliced from 2 exons.
AGCUUAUUACGUCAAAAAGGAACAAAGUAAGAAAAUAUUACAAUUUACAAGACCGAGUAUUAAAUAAAUUAAUGAAACAAUUCUGGGAAGCUCUCGCUUGUCUCGGCCCGACACUCGAGGCUGAUGCUCUGUUCCAAGAAGCGGCUCGAUUCAAGCUCCAUGGGAACAAUACGAGGUUGAAGGUGAGGUUUUUCCAAUGUAUUGCUGAAAGGGUGUUCGAGAAAAUGUCGGUUAGAGCUUGCUGUUAGGGUUUUGGGUAAUAUGGAGGAGGAAAAUGUUGGGAAGAAUCAGCAGACUGACGAGAUUCUAUGGGAGAUUGGAGGAUUAAUGGCGAGUGGUAAAUGAGAUGAAGAAGAAAAGAUUGCAGUUGGGCUGUCUUAGGGAUAUAUAGAGACAAUGGUGUUGUGAAAAAAGGAUUCAGUGUGAUUGUAGAAGAGGUGAGAGAGAUGGGUUUGGGUAUGGAUAUGGAUAUGCAUAUAUACAGCACCAUUAUCGACAAGUUUUGUAGAAUGAAAUGAAGAGUAUAACAUGAGUAUGCUUAUAUGCUCAGCAGGUUGAGUUUCCUAUCUUGCUUUCUUUCUAGUUUUCGGUUCUCUUUUGUUUCUCAGCUGAAAUAUCUUCAUGUUUCACAAUUGUUUAUUGCUCCUUUUCAGAUUGAAAUGAAGAAUCUCUGAAGUGGCUGCAUUACAAGUCUAACUCUUUGUUUCUAUCAACUCUUCUGUAGUCCUUAUUUAGUUCGAUUAAGCAGUCAAAUUUUGAUAUGCAGGGGCCUGAAAUAUUCAAGGAAAUGGUAGGCUCUGGCCUGCAACUGGUAAUCUUUGGAAUCUAAACCCUUCACAAAACCACUGCUCUUAUGAAUUCCCAAACCGACGCUUCUCCUAAGAAUAGCUAAGAUUUCCAGAAGAAGAUGCCAUUUGUUCGAUGAGAAAUAAGGCUGAUAGGAAAGCAGAGACGACUGUUGCAAAGUGCUGUGAUGGUUCUUGGCAAAAGGCGUUAACUGUUUACCGGUACAGCAAGACCGGAAAGCUAACUUCUGUGAGCAUGUCCGAGGAGAAGAGAAGACGAUAAAAGAAAGCUUCUUGGAUGGUUGAAAAAGCAAUGGAGACGCAGAAGCUAAGUUAAUAGAAUGGGGCAUUCACAACAUGGAAACAUGAUGAUGAUGAUGAUGAUGAUGAUGAUGAUGAUGAUGAUGAUGAUGCUUCAUAUGUUUCUUAAAGGCUCUGCCUUUUUCCUUAAAUCGAAGAUUAACUGUAUAUGCUUGAGAAAAAAUGUCCCAAAAUAGUCAACUUACUAUGCAAUCCAACCCUUUUGUUUUUUUC